GACGAACGCUGGCGGCAUGCCUAACACAUGCAAGUCGAACGAGUGGCGGACUGGUGAGUAAUGUCUGGGAAACUGCCCGAUCUAGGGGGAUAACUCCUGUAAACGGUAGCUAAUACCGCAUACCAUCUGAUGUGCUCAGAUGGGAUUAGCUAGUAGGUGGGGUAACGGCUCACCUAGGCGACGAUCCCUAGCUGGGCUGAGAGGAUGACCAGCCACACUGGAACUGAGACACGGUCCAGACUCCUACGGGAGGCAGCAGUGGGGAAUAUUGCACAAUGGGCGCAAGCCUGAUGCAGCCAUGCCGCGUGUAUGAAGAAGGCCUUCGGGUUGUAAAGUACUGUCAGCGGGGAGGCGUUACUCGCAGAAGAAGCACCGGCUAACUCCGUGCCAGCAGCCGCGGUAAUAC
RNAcentral lists this ribosomal RNA (406 nucleotides) under uncultured bacterium. RNAcentral describes it as "partial 16S ribosomal RNA". It matches the Rfam family "Bacterial small subunit ribosomal RNA", at positions 28 to 526 of the family's 1533-position model. The record is from RNAcentral.